GCGGGUGUAACUCAGUGGUAGAGUGUUUGCUUGCCAUGCAAAACGUCGCGCGUUCGAAUCGCGUCACCCGCU
This 72-nucleotide transfer RNA is filed under the name Staurocarteria crucifera. Its description in RNAcentral is "tRNA-Gly". It matches the Rfam family "tRNA". From Rfam's summary of the family: Transfer RNA (tRNA) molecules are approximately 80 nucleotides in length. Their secondary structure includes four short double-helical elements and three loops (D, anti-codon, and T loops). Lineage: Eukaryota; Viridiplantae; Chlorophyta; Chlorophyceae; Chlamydomonadales; Chlamydomonadaceae. RNAcentral also lists the same sequence under 1 other name. The record is from RNAcentral.